This 468-nucleotide ribosomal RNA is filed under the name uncultured bacterium. Its description in RNAcentral is "partial 16S ribosomal RNA". It matches the Rfam family "Bacterial small subunit ribosomal RNA", at positions 28 to 507 of the family's 1533-position model. The record is from RNAcentral.
GACGAACGCUGGCGGCGUGCUUAACACAUGCAAGUCGAACGGAAAGGCCCUGCUUUUGUGGGGUGCUCGAGUGGCGAACGGGUGAGUAACACGUGAGUAACCUGCCCUUGACUUUGGGAUAACUUCAGGAAACUGGGGCUAAUACCGGAUAGGAGCUCCUGCUGCAUGGUGGGGGUUGGAAAGUUUCGGCGGUUGGGGAUGGACUCGCGGCUUAUCAGCUUGUUGGUGGGGUAGUGGCUUACCAAGGGUUUGACGGGUAGCCGGCCUGGGAGGGUGACCGGCCACAUUAGGACUGAGAUACGGCCCAGACUCCUACGGGAGGCAGCAGUGGGGAAUAUUGCACAAUGGGCGGAAGCCUGAUGCAGCAACGCCGCGUGCGGGAUGACGGCCUUCGGGUUGUAAACCGCUUUCGCCUGUGACGAAGCGUGAGUGACGGUAAUGGGUAAAGAAGCACCGGCUAACUACGUG